UUAUAACCUGAUAGGGCAUGAAAGAAAUGAAGAAUCCGUAACUGGAUUUAGAUCAAUGUCCUAUCGUCCGUGUUGAAGAACGGGCCAGGGAGUUCAAACUAUCGGCGAGGUUAAUCCUUAAAGAAGGAGUAGCCGUAGCGAAAGCAAAAUGCUCGCAACCUUUUGGUGAGGAGCUAGGUGUGAUCGCCUGGAGUCGAUGGUGAGAUACCCGAAGCCGGUCGAUCUAGACCUGGGCAGGUCGAAGCCCAACGAAAGUUGGGUGGAGGACCGACCCGGUUCUGAUGUGCAACUCGUUCGGUUGACCUGGGUCUAGGGGUGAAAGGCCAAUCUAGGCCGGCAAUAGCGGGUUCCCCUCGAGACUACCCGCAGGUAGACCUCCGCAGAGGAUGUAUACGGGGUAGAGCCACCGAUGGAGAAGUUUAGAACCGGAAGGUUCGGCUUUUCUUUCGAACUCCGAACCUGUAAUACUCCUAAGAAGCGGGGAGCUAGGGUUGUCGGGAUAAGCUUGACACCCGAGAAGACAACAAUCUAGACAGGGGUUAAGGUCCCUAAAUACAGGCUAAGUGUCAUGAAAAGGGCGUCUAGGACCUAAGACAGCGGGGAGGUUGGCUUAGAAGCAGCCACCCUUUAAAGAGUGCGUAACAGCUCACCCGCCGAGGUUUUAGGCCCCGAAGAUGGACGGGACUAAAGCCUGUUACCGAGACCUCUGGACACUCGAAAGAGUGAUUCGGUAGGGGGGCGUGCCGCUGGGGCAGAAGUCUCUUCGUGAGAAGGGAUGGACCCAACGGUAACGCGGAUCCUGGCGUAAGUAGCAGCAAAGUGCCGUUGAAAUCGGCAUCGCCGAAGGGGCUAAGGGUUCCUUGGCAAUGUUCGUCAGCCAAGGGUUAGCCGGUCCUAAGCACAAUCUUAACAGGAACUGUGCGAAAGGGAAGCUGGUUAAUAUUCCAGCGCCAGGGAUGUUUCGCCCAUGAAAUGACAUCUCGGGAUAAGCGGAUGAUUCCAGUCAGAAUCACCGGUGUCUCGAACUCUGGGGAGUAUCGUAAUGAUGAGAACCAGGGGAAGAGAUACAGGGCCUGCCUAUGGUAGGUUCCGCUGAGUCCGGGGAUCCAUGAAAAGUUUCAUGGGGUCAAGUCCCUGUCCGUACCAAGAUCCGACACAGGUGCCCCUGGGUGAGAAGCCCAAGGCGAGUGGGAACAAUCGACCCGAGGGAACUCGGCAAAAUGGCCCUGUACCUUCGGAAGAAGGGGUGCCUACUCCGGGAAAGAGUAGGUCGCAGUGGCUAGGGGACUCCGACUGUUUAACAAAAACACAGGUGGCUGCCAGACCGUAAGGUUGAGUAUAGCCGCUGAAGCCUGCCCAGUGCCGGUACCUGAAAGCCCCGUACAAGGGGAAGAAGGGCCGGUAAACGGCGGGGGUAACUAUGACCCUCUUAAGGUAGCGUAAUACCUAGCCGCUUAAUUGGCGGCUUGCAUGAAGGCCCAACGAGGGUCCCACUGUCCCCGGGUUGAGUCCCGUGAAAUCGAUGUAAUGGUGCACAAUCCAAUCUCUCCCAUUUGAAAGCGAAGUCCCUGUGGAGCUUUACUGCAGCCUGUGGUUGCGAUAUGACUUCGAUUGUGUAGGGUAGGCGGGAGCUGUCGAGGCCUGGGUCCUAGCUCAGGUGGAGGCGUCGAUGAAACACCGCCCUUUUGGGGUUAUAUUGCUCACUCCUUCGGGAGGACAGCUAUAGGUGGGCAGUUUGGGUGGGGCGCCACGCCCUUGAUAAGUAAACAAGGGCCUCCAAAGGUAGGCUCAGGAGGGUCAGAAAUCCUCCGUUGAGUAU
RNAcentral lists this ribosomal RNA (1819 nucleotides) under Thermoproteati archaeon. RNAcentral describes it as "TACK group archaeon partial 23S ribosomal RNA". It matches the Rfam family "Archaeal large subunit ribosomal RNA", at positions 554 to 2419 of the family's 2987-position model. The record is from RNAcentral. Lineage: Archaea; Thermoproteati.